This 73-nucleotide transfer RNA is filed under the name Aeromonas veronii. Its description in RNAcentral is "tRNA-Ala". It matches the Rfam family "tRNA". Rfam says of the family: Transfer RNA (tRNA) molecules are approximately 80 nucleotides in length. Lineage: Bacteria; Pseudomonadati; Pseudomonadota; Gammaproteobacteria; Aeromonadales; Aeromonadaceae. The record is from RNAcentral.
UGCAUUGUGGAGUAGCGGUCAAGCUCGGCGAUCGGCACAGAUGCAGACGGCGGUUCGAAUCCGUCCAGUGCAA